Molecule: ribosomal RNA, 429 nt
Filed under: Pseudomonadota bacterium
Lineage: Bacteria; Pseudomonadati; Pseudomonadota
Description: Proteobacteria bacterium partial 16S ribosomal RNA
Rfam family: Bacterial small subunit ribosomal RNA
Source: RNAcentral
UGGGGAAUAUUGGACAAUGGGCGAAAGCCUGAUCCAGCCAUGCCGCGUGUGUGAAGAAGGUCUUCGGAUUGUAAAGCACUUUAAGUUGGGAGGAAGGGCAGUAAGCGAAUACCUUGCUGUUUUGACGUUACCGACAGAAUAAGCACCGGCUAACUCUGUGCCAGCAGCCGCGGUAAUACAGAGGGUGCAAGCGUUAAUCGGAAUUACUGGGCGUAAAGCGCGCGUAGGUGGUUCGUUAAGUUGAAUGUGAAAGCCCCGGGCUCAACCUAGUAACGACAACUAAAACUGGCGAGCUAGAGUAGGGCAGAGGGUGGUGGAAUUUCCUGUGUAGCGGUGAAAUGCGUAGGUAUAGGAAGGAACACCAGUGGCGAAGGCGACCACCUGGGCUCAUACUGGCACUGAGGUGCGAAAGCGUGGGGAGCAAACAGG